AGAAUCAACGCUGGCGGCGUGCCUAACACAUGCAAGUCGCACGAGAAAGCGGAGCAAUCCGUGAGUAAAGUGGCGCACGGGUGAGUAACACGUGAAUAAUCUACCUCCGAGUGGGGAAAUAACUGAGAGAAAUCUUAGCUAAUACCGCAUAACACUUACGAGUCAAAGCAGCAAUGCGCUUGGAGAGGAGUUCGCGGCCGAUUAGUUAGUUGGCGGGGUAAUGGCCCACCAAGACGAUGAUCGGUA
This 246-nucleotide ribosomal RNA is filed under the name uncultured bacterium. RNAcentral describes it as "partial small subunit ribosomal RNA". It matches the Rfam family "Bacterial small subunit ribosomal RNA", at positions 26 to 285 of the family's 1533-position model. The record is from RNAcentral.